UACCAGCACCCCGAGUGGUCGGGACGAUUAUUGGGCCUAAAGCAUCCGUAGCCGGUCAUGCAAGUCCUCCGUUAAAUCCACCUGCUUAACAGAUGGGCUGCGGAGGAUACUACAAGGCUAGGAGGCGGAAGAGGCAGGCGGUACUCAGUGGGUAGGGGUAAAAUCCUCUGAUCCAUUGAAGACCACCAGUGGCGAAGGCGGCUUGCCAAUACGCGCUCGACGGUGAGGGAUGAAAGCUGGGGGAGCAAACCGG
This 253-nucleotide ribosomal RNA is filed under the name uncultured bacterium. RNAcentral's name for it is "partial 16S ribosomal RNA". It matches the Rfam family "Archaeal small subunit ribosomal RNA", at positions 474 to 727 of the family's 1478-position model. The record is from RNAcentral.